GGCAGCGUGGCCGAACGGCCUAAGGCGCUAGUUUAAGGCACCGGCCUCUUAGAAGGCGUGGAUUCAAAUCCCACCGUUGCCA
Eumeta japonica is the source of this 82-nucleotide non-coding RNA. Lineage: Eukaryota; Metazoa; Arthropoda; Insecta; Lepidoptera; Psychidae. The record is from the annotation of a GenBank genome assembly.